RNAcentral lists this ribosomal RNA (640 nucleotides) under uncultured bacterium. RNAcentral's name for it is "bacterial SSU rRNA". It matches the Rfam family "Bacterial small subunit ribosomal RNA", at positions 232 to 885 of the family's 1533-position model. The record is from RNAcentral.
CGCGGCCUAUCAGCUUGUUGGCGGGGUAACGGCCCACCAAGGCAACGACGGGUAGCUGGUUUGAGAGAACGAUCAGCCACACUGGAACUGAGACACGGUUCAGACUUCUACGGAAGGCAGCAGUAGGGAAUCUUGCGCAAUGGGCGAAAGCCUGACGCAGCGACGCCGCGUGCGGGAUGACGGCCCUAGUGGUUGUAAACCGCUUUCAGCAGGGACGAAAAUGACGGUACCUGCAGAAGAAGUCCCGGCUAACUACGUGCCAGCAGCCGCGGUAAUACGUAGGGGACAAGCGUUGUCCGGAUUCAUUGGGCGUAAAGAGCUCGUAGGCGGUUCAGUAAGUUGGGUGUGAAAGCUCCGGGCUCAACCCGGAGAGGCCACUCAAUACUGCUGUGACUAGAGUCCAGUAGAGGAGCGUGGAACUCCUGGUGUAGCGGUGAAAUGCGCAGAUAUCAGGAAGAACACCGGCAGCGAAGGCGGCGCUCUGGGCUGGUACUGACGCUGAGGAGCGAAAGCAUGGGUAGCAAACAGGAUUAGAUACCCUGGUAGUCCAUGCCGUAAACGUUGGGCACUAGGUGUGGGGAGGAAUCAACCCUCUCCGUGCCGUAGCUAACGCAUUAAGUGCCCCGCCUGGGGAGUACGG